GAUGAAGAACGUAGCGAAAUGCGAUACGUAAUGUGAAUUGCAGAAUUCAGUGAAUCAUCGAGUCUUUGAACGCACAUUGCGCCCUCUGGUAUUCCGGAGGGCAUGCCUGUCCGAGCGUCAUUGCUGCCCUCAAGCACGGCUUGUGUGUUGGGCCCCACCCCCCGAUCCCGGGGGGCGGGCCCGAAAGGCAGCGGCGGCACCGCGUCCGGUCCUCGAGCGUAUGGGGCUUUGUCACCCGCUCUGUAGGCCCGGCCGGCGCUUGCCGAUCAACCAAACUUUUUUCCAGGUUGACCUCGGAUCAGGUAGGGAUACCCGCUGAACUUAAGCAUAUCAAUAAGCGGAGGA
RNAcentral lists this unclassified non-coding RNA (345 nucleotides) under soil metagenome. RNAcentral's name for it is "partial contains 5.8S ribosomal RNA, internal transcribed spacer 2, and large subunit ribosomal RNA". The stretch from base 1 to 120 matches the Rfam family "5.8S ribosomal RNA", at positions 35 to 154 of the family's 154-position model. The record is from RNAcentral.